This 402-nucleotide ribosomal RNA is filed under the name bacterium. Its description in RNAcentral is "partial 16S ribosomal RNA". It matches the Rfam family "Bacterial small subunit ribosomal RNA", at positions 355 to 775 of the family's 1533-position model. The record is from RNAcentral.
UGGGGAAUAUUGCACAAUGGAGGGAACUCUGAUGCAGCGACGCCGCGUGAACGAAGAAGGCUUUCGAGUCGUAAAGUUCUUUUAUAUGGGAAGAUAAUGACGGUACCAUAAGAAAAAGCCCCGGCUAACUACGUGCCAGCAGCCGCGGUUAUACGUAGGGGGCUAGCGUUGUCCGGAAUCACUGGGCGUAAAGGGUUCGCAGGCGGAAAUGCAAGUCAGGUGUAAAAGGCAGUAGCUUAACUACUGUAAGCAUUUGAAACUGCAUAUCUUGAGAAGAGUAGAGGUAAGUGGAAUUUUUAGUGUAGCGGUGAAAUGCGUAGAUAUUAAAAAGAAUACCGGUGGCGAAGGCGGCUUACUGGGCUCAUUCUGACGCUGAGGAACGAAAGCGUGGGUAGCAAACAG